This 481-nucleotide ribosomal RNA is filed under the name uncultured bacterium. RNAcentral's name for it is "partial 16S ribosomal RNA". It matches the Rfam family "Bacterial small subunit ribosomal RNA", at positions 28 to 507 of the family's 1533-position model. The record is from RNAcentral.
GAUGAACGCUGGCGGCGUGCCUAACACAUGCAAGUCGAACGGAUAUUACGGACUGACGCUUUCAGUUGGAAGCCUGUGGUUCUUAGUGGCGGACGAGUGAGUAACGCGUGGGCAACCUGCCCUAGAAAGGGGGAUAGCAGCUGGAAACGGCUGGUAAGACCGCAUAGGUCGGCGAGACCGCAUGGUUUUGCCGGGAAAUGAGCAAUCAGGUAUAGGAUGGGCCCGAGUCAGAUUAGCCAGUUGGCAGGGUCAAAGACUACCAAAGCAACGAUCGGUAGCCGGACUGAGAGGUAGGACGGAGACACUGGGACUAGGACACGGCCGGAACUACUACGGGAGGCAGCAGUGGGUGAUAUUGCACAGUGGAGGAAAUGCAGAUGCAGUGAGGACUGGUGAGUGAAGAAGGAUUGGGGUAUGUAAAGCUAUAUCAGCAGGGAAUAUGAUGACGGUACCUGAAUAAGAAGCCCCGGCUAACUACGUG